CACUCCUAACUUAAGCAUUUAUUCCACUGGGAUAGAAGCGGCAGGAGCAGCGUUGGCACCGGCGAACCAUGGCUGGGAUUUUCUAUUUCGUCCUCUUUUCGUUUCUCUUUGGGAUUUGCGACGCUGUCACCGGUUCCAGGGUGUACCCCGCGAAUGAAGUUACCUUAUUGGAUUCCAGGUCUGUUCAGGGAGAACUUGGGUGGAUAGCCAGCCCUCUGGAAGGAGGGUGGGAGGAAGUGAGCAUAAUGGAUGAAAAAAAUACACCAAUCCGAACCUACCAAGUGUGCAAUGUGAUGGAACCCAGUCAGAAUAACUGGCUACGAACUGAUUGGAUCACCCGAGAAGGGGCUCAGAGGGUGUACAUUGAGAUCAAGUUCACCUUGAGAGACUGCAACAGUCUUCCGGGUGUCAUGGGGACUUGCAAGGAGACGUUUAACCUGUACUACUAUGAAUCGGACAAUGACAAAGAGCGUUUCAUCCGAGAGAGCCAGUUUGCCAAGAUUGACACCAUUGCGGCCGACGAGAGCUUCACCCAAGUGGACAUUGGUGACAGAAUCAUGAAGCUGAACACUGAGAUCCGGGAUGUAGGGCCACUGAGCAAAAAGGGGUUUUACCUGGCUUUUCAGGAUGUGGGGGCCUGCAUUGCCCUGGUAUCGGUCCGCGUGUUCUAUAAGAAGUGUCCGCUCACCGUUCGCAACCUGGCCCAAUUUCCAGACACCAUCACAGGGGCUGACACGUCUUCCCUGGUGGAAGUUCGAGGCUCCUGUGUCAACAACUCAGAAGAAAAGGAUGUGCCAAAAAUGUACUGUGGGGCAGAUGGUGAGUGGCUGGUACCCAUUGGCAACUGCCUAUGCAAUGCUGGGCAUGAAGAGUGGAAUGGAGAAUGCCAAGCCUGCAAAAUUGGCUAUUACAAGGCCCUCUCCACGGAUGCCACCUGUGCCAAGUGCCCGCCCCACAGCUACUCUGUCUGGGAAGGAGCCACAUCGUGCACCUGUGACCGAGGCUUUUUCAGAGCCGACAACGACGCGGCCUCUAUGCCCUGCACCCGCCCACCAUCUGCUCCCCUCAACUUGAUCUCAAACGUCAAUGAGACGUCCGUGAACUUGGAAUGGAGCAGCCCUCAGAACACAGGUGGUCGCCAGGACAUCUCCUACAACGUGGUGUGCAAGAGAUGUGGGGCUGGUGAUUCCAGCAAGUGCCGACCCUGUGGAAGUGGGGUCCACUAUACCCCCCAGCAGAAUGGCCUGAAGACCACCAAAGUUUCCAUCACUGACCUCCUGGCUCACACCAAUUAUACAUUCGAAAUCUGGGCCGUGAAUGGGGUGUCCAAGUAUAACCCCAGCCCGGACCAGUCGGUGUCUGUCACCGUGACAACCAACCAAGCAGCACCAUCGUCCAUUGCUUUGGUCCAGGCUAAAGAAGUCACAAGGUACAGUGUUGCUCUGGCUUGGCUGGAACCAGAUAGACCCAAUGGGGUGAUCUUGGAGUAUGAAGUCAAGUAUUACGAGAAGGAUCAGAAUGAGCGAAGCUACCGGAUCGUCCGGACGGCCGCCAGAAACACAGAUAUCAAAGGCCUGAAUCCUCUGACUUCCUACGUGUUCCAUGUGCGAGCAAGGACAGCAGCCGGCUACGGAGACUUCAGUGAGCCCCUAGAGGUCACGACCAACACAGUGCCCUCCCGGAUCAUCGGAGAUGGGGCUAACUCCACAGUCCUCCUGGUCUCCGUCUCAGGCAGUGUGGUGCUGGUGGUCAUUCUCAUUGCGGCUUUUGUCAUCAGCAGGAGACGGAGUAAAUACAGUAAAGCUAAACAAGAAGCAGAUGAAGAGAAACAUUUGAAUCAAGGUGUUAGAACUUACGUGGACCCCUUUACCUAUGAAGAUCCCAACCAAGCAGUUCGAGAAUUUGCCAAAGAAAUCGACGCAUCCUGCAUUAAGAUUGAAAAAGUCAUAGGAGUUGGUGAAUUUGGUGAAGUAUGCAGUGGGCGUCUCAAAGUGCCUGGCAAGAGAGAGAUCUGUGUGGCCAUCAAGACCCUGAAAGCUGGUUAUACAGAUAAACAGAGGAGAGACUUCCUGAGUGAGGCCAGCAUCAUGGGACAGUUUGACCACCCGAAUAUAAUUCACUUGGAAGGCGUUGUCACCAAAUGUAAACCAGUAAUGAUCAUAACAGAGUACAUGGAGAAUGGCUCCUUGGAUGCAUUCCUCAGGAAGAAUGAUGGCAGAUUUACUGUCAUUCAGCUGGUGGGCAUGCUUCGUGGCAUCGGGUCCGGGAUGAAGUAUUUAUCGGAUAUGAGCUAUGUGCAUCGAGAUCUGGCUGCACGGAAUAUUCUGGUAAAUAGCAACUUGGUCUGCAAAGUGUCUGAUUUUGGCAUGUCCCGAGUACUUGAGGAUGAUCCGGAAGCAGCUUACACCACCAGGGGUGGCAAGAUUCCUAUCCGGUGGACCGCGCCAGAAGCAAUUGCCUAUCGUAAAUUCACAUCAGCGAGUGAUGUAUGGAGCUAUGGAAUCGUUAUGUGGGAAGUUAUGUCAUAUGGAGAGAGACCCUACUGGGAUAUGUCCAAUCAAGACGUGAUUAAAGCCAUCGAGGAAGGCUACCGGCUACCUCCUCCAAUGGACUGCCCCAUUGCACUCCAUCAACUGAUGCUAGACUGCUGGCAGAAGGAGAGAAGUGAUAGGCCGAAAUUUGGGCAGAUUGUCAACAUGUUGGACAAACUCAUCCGCAACCCCAACAGCUUGAAGAGGACGGGGACCGAGAGCUCCAGACCUAACACCGCCUUGUUGGAUCCGAGCUCUCCCGAGUUCUCCGCCGUGGUAUCCGUUGGCGACUGGCUCCAGGCCAUUAAAAUGGACCGGUAUAAGGAUAACUUCACGGCUGCCGGCUAUACCACACUAGAGGCUAUAGUACACAUGAACCAGGAUGACCUGGCAAGAAUCGGCAUCACAGCCGUCACACAUCAGAAUAAGAUUCUGAGCAGCGUCCAGGCGAUGAGAACCCAAAUGCAGCAGAUACACGGCCGAAUGGUUCCUGUCUGAGCCAGUGCUGUUGAAUAAACUCAGAACUCUUGAAAUUAGUUUACCUCAUCCAUGCACUUUAAUUGAAGAACUGCACUUUUUUUAACUCCGUCUUCGCCCUCUGAAAUGAAAGAAAGAGUAAAAUAACCUGCAGCGUCACCCGGUGUACAGAUUUUGCUGAGAUCGCGGGGCUUACGGAAAUGACAGACCGUCGCUCAAAUCGAGACCUGGAACCCAUUGUGUCUCAGAAGUACUCCGUCCGUCACCAGUUUGUAAAAUACACGUACCUGUAUAAAUAGAACACCACCUCCGGGUUUUGAUGAGUAUUUGCUGACAGACACUGAGCUUCUCUGAGACAUCCUUGAUCCUCUCUCCAUUUGGAAUUACAACUGCAGUAUUUUGUUUGUGGUGUAAAUGACCGUCCUCUUGCUCUCACCGGAAUGAAUACCAUGCCCAGGAACAUUUGGGAAGGACUCAGUCGUAGCUUCUAAGGCUUGGUUCUUACCACGGAAAACAACCUAGGUGAAAACCGCGUAGCUCAUCGGGCCACCUCGUGGCUUAUGGUGACCUGAAAGUCAUCAUAAGGGUCUGGAAAGAAAAGGAAAGUGGAUUUUAAAAAAUAAAAAUAAUAAGAAUGAUAAUAAUAAAACCCAAACACCUCCCCCUCACUGGACAAACAAGGUCUGUUUCUUUGGGCCUGAGGCUGUGCCAUAUAAAGUCGUAUUUUGGGACUCUACAAACUUCUUGUAACUACCUUAUGGAUAGUGGACCGUGACAAUCUUGAAUAGGGAACUUUCACACUUCCCUCCUUUAAAGAAGCAAACCCAGACCUACAAGGGAGUAGAUUCUGCUAUCUUGGCCUCACAGCCCUUCCUGUCGAUCACAAAGCCCACAGAAGAAAACAGAACACACCCUCCUCAGUCCCUUCGAGAUGUGUUUCUUCUGCUUCCCCUCUGCCAGUUCUGGAGCAAAGACCCUGAUGAAACAACCCCCGUACCUGAAAAGAACAAAUGGCUGACGUUCCAGUCUCCUUUCCCAGUGAAAGAAACAGCAAACGUGCGAGGCUCAGCACCUGUUCUCCCGUUGCACUGAGGAACGGACUGCCUCGCAGCACCAACUCCGCAGAGCCCUUGUUCCUAAACUCCUUGUGGUUUUAUUUAUAUGUAUUUCCGUAUCUCAUUCCUGUGCGUCACUGCUGCAUUGGUGCGGCAGCAAGUGACCCAAGGCUACAGGUCUUACGACGGACACCAGGUCAGGUGCCACUACGCAAAACAAAGCCAGUUCCCUUGAGCUGCCUAUGAUAUGCAUUGCUGAAGUCACAUUUUACCCAGGGUGUGCCAUUGCAGUGAUAUAAAUAUAUUUUUUUCCUAGACUAAAUAUGAGCUGACUAUCUCUUUUGAUGUGUGUACAUAGGUGUGAGUGUGCGAGUGCGCGGGUGUGUGUGCGCGUGAGCGUCUAACCUCAUGCUUAGACCUGCCUGCGAAUGUUGUGGAAUGCUACACCCGGAGAGUGCUGGUUUUUCCACCGGUCCUGAGAUUACGAGCCGCGUGCGACAGUGGGCCUGGAGACCGCACCCGUCCCCUCAGAAAGACAGCCCGGAAGUGUUCAAUGCCCUGUAUCUAGAAGUGUGUUCCGUAACUGCCACACUAACCUUAAUAAGUAAUUCGACAGCUUUGGAUGGAGGCAUUUUCACCUUAGCAGGGGGGUAAUUUUAGAAUAUAAAUCCAUGCGGGUGACGACCCAUCGUCGAGAUCAUUAAUGCGGACUGAACUUCCCAUCUGAAUCACCAAUUUCUUGAUGGAGAGAGAGAGAAGGGGAUGGAAUUUGUCUGGUGACCCCAAGUGGAAUAGAAGUAGCCUUUGUUUUCCUGCAUAAAUGGACUCGUUGAAUGAGAACAAAUAUAUGCAACCCAUGCGCUUUCGGAGAUGAACGUAGACGCGUGUGUCGGCUUUGAGAUGAUGUGUCCCGGGUUAAUACUUUGUCUCUCAAUGUCACAGAAAAAUACAUGCCGGUGACUCUUGAGGUUGGCAUAGUUGGGAUUAAAUGUCCUCAAGUGAUUUCAGGUUCCCAGUUUAGAGGAGGAGUUCUACAAUUAAUUCAUAUGCAGCUAACUCUUAUGGUCCUUAGCCUUCUAGAAUCUGAGGUCCAGUGUGUGAAGAUUCAGUUCUGAUAGGACACGUGUACCCAACUCCAGCCAACAUACUGCCAUUUUUUCACAAUCUGAGUGGCUGCCUUGCGUAUUCUCAGCUACGGUUGCAGAGACUGUGGCCGUUUACAUAAGCUAUAACAUCAAAUCAGGGAAAAAUGGGAAAAAAAAAAAAAAGAUUCCGAACCCUAUGCUAUUGAAGAAGUAGAGAACAUCAUCAAUAAAUAUUUAUUACAUUCUGACAGGGUGUGUGGCAUUGUAUUCUCAUAGCUAUGCCAGAGUGACAAAGUGAAUUCACCCCUUUUUGGGGACUUUACUAUAUUUUUAAAGGGAUGUGCCUAUGCAUUGAUGCCUGAAAAAUAUGUAUAAAAAAAUGAGGUUGAAUCUCUGAGCUGGUCAUCUUUCCCCAGAGGUCAGGGCAGGAGGCCAACUUCAGGGGACUGGAUUAGCCCCAUAAGCGAGUGCUGGCCUAGUGAGUUCAGAUGCUGAAUCUUGCUCAGAUCUUCCAUUAGGGCAGCAUUAAGCUGUUCCCCUGCACCAAAUCGAGUAGCUUCACCAUGUGUCUGCCGGCCCCAAAUUAUUUUUAACAGUCAUGGAGGAAACGUUCUGGUGUGUUCAAAGAGUGAUUUUGGAGACAGGUUGUGUUCACGACACUACUGGUGUGUAUGUUUUGAGAACUCUUGUAUUCGAUCUGUGAAGGAUAUGUGUAUUAAUCCAUACACGCGUAUAGCCUCAAUGUUGGUCCGAAGACACGCAAAUUCUGACCAGUCAAGGAAAGUUCUAGAAGCAAUAUUUUCACUUAACAUUCUCCAAACAUCAAGCGUUGAUACACACUGAAGAGUGCAUUUAUUUUUUGUAUCACUCCAAGUAUGUUGGAAUAUGCAAGGACUGUGGUUAAAAUUAGAAUGUACAAGGCCUAUUAUAAUUUAGUUCAUACCAUAAAGGAAAUUAACAGAACACUGCUUGGUUCGUACAUGUUCCAAAAUUUGAGCGCUCUCUUGAGUUAGACAUAGAUUUUUCUAUUUUGUUUUAUUUUGUCAAGGUAUUUUUCUUCCCUUCAUGAACUUUAGGUACACAUAACUUAUGUCAUUUAUUUAUGGUCUUUUAUACCUAGUUUGUAAAAUUGUAAAAUAGCAAACUAAAUGCAAAGAGUUUGCAUUUGAAAAUAAUAAAGUAGUUGCCGUAUACAGACCUGGAA
Molecule: RNA transcript, 6352 nt
Organism: Herpailurus yagouaroundi (jaguarundi)
Lineage: Eukaryota; Metazoa; Chordata; Mammalia; Carnivora; Felidae
Gene: EPHA4
Gene name: EPH receptor A4
Exons: 18
Source: RefSeq, a predicted model, not a curated record